GCGUUCUUGUCAAGUUAAUGGUAUAUCCCUCCCAUCGAUCUCACUUACCUGGCCAUAUGUGUCGAUCCAGUUCUGAUUUAAGGUGACUAACAAUUCAAGCUAACCCAUGCCACUAGGUUAGUCAUAAUUGUUAUGACUAUGUCAAGUCAAAUUUAAUGAGACCUAAAUUAAAUCUCUCUAAAAAAAUAUUAAGUCUAAGGUCUUCCACCAUUGUGGA
Molecule: long non-coding RNA, 217 nt
Filed under: Elaeis guineensis (African oil palm)
Lineage: Eukaryota; Viridiplantae; Streptophyta; Magnoliopsida; Arecales; Arecaceae
Description: long non-coding RNA (EGUI_LNC068655)
Source: RNAcentral